UACAGAGGGUGCGAGCGUUAAUCGGAAUUACUGGGCGUAAAGCGCGUGCAGGCGGUCGAUUAAGUCCGGUGUGAAAGCCCGGGGCUCACCCCCGGAAGUGCGCUGGAAACUAAUCAACUAGAGUACGGGAGAGGGAAGUGGAAUUCCUGGUGUAGCGGUGAAAUGCGUAGAUAUCAGGAGGAACACCGGCGGCGAAGGCGGCUUCCUGGACCGAUACUGACGCUGAGACGCGAAAGCGUGGGGAGCAAACAGG
Molecule: ribosomal RNA, 253 nt
Filed under: uncultured bacterium
Lineage: Bacteria
Description: partial 16S ribosomal RNA
Rfam family: Bacterial small subunit ribosomal RNA
Source: RNAcentral